UUGAGUGCACAUUUGCAAUUUGCAAGCUUGUUUGAAGUCCACUACAUAGACACAUGAUAGAAAAGAAGGACAUAUUGAAAAAUUAAAGGGAUGUAACUUUAGUUGGAUGUAUGGAUUGAUCUAUAGAUUUUGAUAUAGUGCACAUAAAUCUUGUCGAAGUAAUUGGAUUAUCAAUUGAAGCUAGUAUAGAAGACUAUAUAAUAAGGUGUGGCAUCUACUCUUCUGAAGAAUUAAGGUCCCAUCUCCAUUUAUAAAUUAAAAUAAACUCCUUUUAGCUGGAAAUUUAAUCCAAUU
Molecule: long non-coding RNA, 294 nt
Filed under: Physcomitrium patens
Lineage: Eukaryota; Viridiplantae; Streptophyta; Bryopsida; Funariales; Funariaceae
Description: long non-coding RNA (PPAT_LNC006830)
Source: RNAcentral